AGCGAACGCUGGCGGUAUGCUUAACACAUGCAAGUCGAGCGCGAAAGUGACUUCGGUCAUGAGUAGAGCGGCGGACGGGUGAGUAACACGUGGAUAAUCUGCCUUUAGGACUGGGAUAACCCUGGGAAACUAGGGCUAAUACCGGAUAAGACCACAGGUUCCAUGGAACCAGGGGUAAAAGGCGGCCUUCGGGCUGUCGCCGAAAGAUGAGUCCGCGUCCCAUCAGGUAGUUGGUGAGGUAACGGCUCACCAAGCCGAAGACGGGUAGCCGACCUUAGCGGGUGAUCGGCCACACGGGGACUGAGACACGGCCCCGACUCCUACGGGAGGCAGCAGUGGGGAAUCUUGGGCAAUGGGCGCAAGCCUGACCCAGCAAUACCGCGUGAGGG
RNAcentral lists this ribosomal RNA (389 nucleotides) under uncultured bacterium. RNAcentral's name for it is "bacterial SSU rRNA". It matches the Rfam family "Bacterial small subunit ribosomal RNA", at positions 29 to 407 of the family's 1533-position model. The record is from RNAcentral.